Molecule: ribosomal RNA, 834 nt
Filed under: uncultured bacterium
Lineage: Bacteria
Description: bacterial SSU rRNA
Rfam family: Bacterial small subunit ribosomal RNA
Source: RNAcentral
ACACAUGCAAGUCGAGGGGCAGCAUCAUCAAAGCUUGCUUUGAUGGAUGGCGACCGGCGCACGGGUGAGUAACACGUAUCCAACCUGCCGUCAACACUGGGAUAGCCUUUCGAAAGAAAGAUUAAUACCGGAUGGUAUAGUUUUCCCGCAUGGGAUGAUUAUUAAAGAAUUUCGGUUGUCGAUGGGGAUGCGUUCCAUUAGGCAGUUGGCGGGGUAACGGCCCACCAAACCUACGAUGGAUAGGGGUUCUGAGAGGAAGGUCCCCCACAUUGGAACUGAAACACGGUCCAAACUCCUACGGGAGGCAGCAGUGAGGAAUAUUGGUCAAUGGACGAGAGUCUGAACCAGCCAAGUAGCGUGAAGGAUGACUGCCCUAUGGGUUGUAAACUUCUUUUAUACGGGAAUAAAGUGAGCCACGUGUGGCUUUUUGUAUGUACCGUAUGAAUAAGGAUCGGCUAACUCCGUGCCAGCAGCCGCGGUAAUACGGAGGAUCCGAGCGUUAUCCGGAUUUAUUGGGUUUAAAGGGAGCGUAGGCGGGUUGUUAAGUCAGUUGUGAAAGUUUGCGGCUCAACCGUAAAAUUGCAGUUGAUACUGGCGACCUUGAGUGCAACAGAGGUAGGCGGAAUUCGUGGUGUAGCGGUGAAACGCUUAGAUAUCACGAAGAACUCCGAUUGCGAAGGCAGCUUACUGGAUUGUAACUGACGCUGAUGCUCGAAAGUGUGGGUAUCAAACAGGAUUAGAUACCCUGGUAGUCCACACAGUAAACGAUGAAUACUCGCUGUUGGCGAUAUACAGUCAGCGGCCAAGCGAAAGCAUUAAGUAUUCCACCUGGGG